This 484-nucleotide ribosomal RNA is filed under the name Nematoda environmental sample. RNAcentral describes it as "partial large subunit ribosomal RNA". It matches the Rfam family "Eukaryotic large subunit ribosomal RNA", at positions 666 to 1138 of the family's 3401-position model. Lineage: Eukaryota; Metazoa; Nematoda. The record is from RNAcentral.
CCAAGGAGUCUAACACGUACGCAAGUGGUGGGGUGGAAAACCCGAAGGCGCAAUGAAAGUAAAGCUUGUGCGACACGGGCUCCGGNUUCGGCCGGCGCAUGNGGCCCCUUUCCGGCUGCAUGUCAGNGGAGCGGCGGUAGAGCGUACACGUUCGGACCCGANAGAUGGUGAACUAUGCGCAAGCAGGGCGAAGCCAGAGGAAACUCUGGUGGAGGCUCGAAAUGGUUCUGACGUGCAAAUCGAUCGUCAGACUAGGGUAGAGGGGCGAAAGAUUAAUCGAACCAUCUGGUAGCUGGUUCCCUCCGAAGUUUCCCUCAGGAUAGCUGUGCGUUCAAGUCGCAGUUUUCUCCGGUAAAGCGAAUGAUUAGAGGCCUUGGGGACGAAACGACCUCAACCUAUUCUCAAACUUUAAAUGGGUAAGAAGUCUCGGUUGCUUGACUCUGAACCGUGGACAGUGAAUGUGAGCUCCAAGUGGGCCAUUUUU